This 296-nucleotide long non-coding RNA is filed under the name Ananas comosus (pineapple). Its description in RNAcentral is "long non-coding RNA (ACOM_LNC042205)". Lineage: Eukaryota; Viridiplantae; Streptophyta; Magnoliopsida; Poales; Bromeliaceae. The record is from RNAcentral.
AAACGGUACAUAAAAUAUUAUGUUUUCCUCCAUUUUUUUCGUUUUGCCCAAUUAACCCCUUAGCGAACAUUUCGCGUUUCCCGAAGAUUCGUCCGUCGUAUUUCCGAUUGGAUCAUGCCAUCGCGUUUAGCACGACUGUGGCAUCGAUUCUACCAUUUCGUUUCAUCUGAUUUAGUCGCCAAUUUGCGACGAAAACCAUCCACUCUCCAAUUAUCAAAACUACGCGCAAAUACAUAUACUAAUGUAUUUUUAGAUUUUUCAAAAUUCGUGCGUCAGAUCUGAAAUCCGUCAGCGCC